AUGUCACGAACGUCAUGACGAUUUAUAAGCUUAUAUAUUUUAAUAGCACUUACGUUUAUAAUAUAUAAAAAAAAUAAUGCACGGUAAUAUACAUAGGUGGCGAUGUGUAAGAAUAAAACAUUUAAACCUUUUAUCGAAUCGUCGUCAUAGAGUUGAAUUAGAUGUUUAGCGUUUCGAGAUCGUGACCGAGAAAGAUGGUACCGCCGCGCAGCAAUAGUAUCAUUCGUAUUAUUUUAAUGUUCUUUACGCGGAAAAAAGACGAAAAACCGAACGAAGUCAUACUUGUGCGCGUAAAAAUUUAACCACGGAAAGUGGUUGUCGCUGCCAAGGACAAGCUGUAUACCAUUGUGUGUGUGUGUACCUAGUAGUGGUGGUAAUAAAUAUGACAAUACAAUGGCAACAAACAAACACACACACACAACAUGCACUAUGUGGUCGCGUGCUGCAAUAUUUAUAUUCACCGACCAAACAGAAAUAAAUUCAUCACGAAUCGAACCAGCAUUUAGCUCGCCGUUUACUGUUUAGUCAUAAAGACUUACGACACAAGCAGUCGGAGUGGGUAGAGACGUAUAGUUUAUUUAUUUAUUUAUGCUAUAUUAUAUUAUUAUUAUGGUUGUUUCCAUUUUCCUCUAAGCCAAUGGCACCGUUUUCCUUAAAAAGAAGUAUAAAGAACAAAUUCAAUUUUCCUUUAAGUAUAAUAACAAUAACAAUAAAAAUAUUAUCUAGCAAGU
Molecule: long non-coding RNA, 731 nt
Organism: Metopolophium dirhodum (rose-grain aphid)
Lineage: Eukaryota; Metazoa; Arthropoda; Insecta; Hemiptera; Aphididae
Exons: 3
Source: RefSeq, a predicted model, not a curated record